This 1844-nucleotide long non-coding RNA is filed under the name Manihot esculenta (cassava). RNAcentral's name for it is "long non-coding RNA (MESC_LNC010468)". The record is from RNAcentral. Lineage: Eukaryota; Viridiplantae; Streptophyta; Magnoliopsida; Malpighiales; Euphorbiaceae.
CCCUCCAGGAGGCCUUCAGUACCUUCGGUGACGUCCUUGAAUCGAAGGUCGGUUUGCGUUGUCGCAUAGAUUGGAUCUGACCGACCCCGUUUGGCUUUGUCGAUCCAAGAUCUGUGAUCUGUUUGUGUUACUAUAUUCUCUCUGUUACUGUUCUUUUAUGUUACUAAACGAAAACCGGUACGUUCUUCAUCCUGUGGGCGAAGAUCGAUCGAAUAUUUCUUUAUUGUUUUUAUACUUCAGUUGAUUUGUAUUUCUCCGUUUGUGCUUAGAUCUGAUUGUUUUUCUUGAUUCUUUGUUUAGAUUAUCAAUGAUCGGGAGACCGGUAGAUCUCGUGGUUUUGGAUUUGUGACAUUCAGCAACGAGAAAUCUAUGAGGGAUGCUAUUGAAGGAAUGAACGGUCAGAAUCUUGACGGCCGUAAUAUUACUGUGAAUGAAGCCCAGUCUCGCGGAAGCGGAGGCGGAGGAAAUGGGGGUUACAGCCGUGGCGGCGGCGGCGGCGGUUAUGGUGGUGGAGGACGACGUGAAGGUGGUUAUGGAGGGGGCUACAACCGUGGCGGUGGUGGAUAUGGUGGCGGUGGUGGGUACGGUGGAGGCCGUGACCGUGGAUAUGGAGAUGGGGGUUCUCGGUACUCCAGGGGUGGAGGAGCUUCUGAAGGGAACUGGAGAAAUUAGGAUGUAGGUUUUAUGAUUUAAAUCUAUGUUGGGUUUGGGUGUGAGUUGGUUUAUCGUUAGGGUGCUCUGUUAGGUUGUGCGUUAUUCAUAUGGAUCUUUCAUUUUUGAUCGCUAUCUAUGUAUGCCAAAGCCCUUGUUCCAGAAAAUUUUAGUUUAGUAUCAUAUCUUUGUGUUUCUCUGCUGUUUCUUCGUUAUUCUUGAUGGGUUGAUAAUUUUGUUUUUCGUUCUUUGGAUUAUUUGUAAGAGAAGUAGCUAUCUGUUCUUAAACCCUCAGUAGUGGCCAACUAACGUUUUGGGGGUAUUUACUUGAUUUAUUUGGGAGGCAUGAUUCUCUAAGCCAGAGAAAAUCUUCUGCUAGAAAUAAAUCAACGAAAGAACAGACCGACCUUCCCAGUUUUUGUCUAAUAACUAUUUGACUAGCAGUAGGAAAUAUAAAUAAUUUUCUCCUCGAGAAGAGGUAAAUAGUGUAGAAAAUGAAAAAGAAAAAAUGGCGGGUGAGAUUGUAAUUUUCAUAUAAUAUUGUACCUUUGUGAUUCAAAUUCAGAACCAUUGUGCGUGUAAGUUUCUUAUCUAUUAGCAUAUUUUUCUUGAUACAAGCAUUCUAUACUGGAUGCCUUCGAUUUUCAAAAUUUCAGACUGGGAUGAGGGGCCGUCGACCUGUCUGGGGUAAGGGGAGACUCGAUAAGGGAAAAUGUGCAAGGAUGCGCUGCCACUGAGCCACCGUUGAGCCGAAAUGAAGUGUAAUGGAGAGGAGGAAAGUCUUCACUGUGAGUACCCUUGGAAGUCCUUAACGAUGCUCUGAUAUUUCCAUCGGAAAAAAAAAAAUCUGAACUACUGCAUUCCGGAUACCCCAAACCAUAACCUUGUGUUUGGAUCCUGCAAGAGAAAUAGAGAAAUUAAAUAAUAGAGAGAUUAAAGAAUUAGAGAAGAAAAGAAUUUUGAUUUAUCUUGGAUAAAGGAGUAGUUUAGAGUAGAAAUCAAAUUUCUUGUAGAGAAGAUAUAUAAGCGUUGCAUACCUAUUUCCCUCCCUUUCCUUUUGCCACCAAAUUGGGAGAAAUUUGUAAUAAACUGGGAAAUGCUAGUGUUUUUUCCUUUUAUUUUUGGUGAUACUAAGCUAAUUAAUGAGAACGAGAUAUUCAUAAAUGAACCUAAGCUAAACUAAUCUUUGCUCG